This 255-nucleotide ribosomal RNA is filed under the name Escherichia coli. RNAcentral describes it as "partial 23S ribosomal RNA". It matches the Rfam family "Bacterial large subunit ribosomal RNA", at positions 138 to 431 of the family's 2925-position model. The record is from RNAcentral. Lineage: Bacteria; Pseudomonadati; Pseudomonadota; Gammaproteobacteria; Enterobacterales; Enterobacteriaceae. RNAcentral also lists the same sequence under 1 other name.
AUUCGUCACACUAUCAUUAACUGAAUCCAUAGGUUAAUGAGGCGAACCGGGGGAACUGAAACAUCUAAGUACCCCGAGGAAAAGAAAUCAACCGAGAUUCCCCCAGUAGCGGCGAGCGAACGGGGAGGAGCCCAGAGCCUGAAUCAGUGUGUGUGUUAGUGGAAGCGUCUGGAAAGGCGCGCGAUACAGGGUGACAGCCCCGUACACAAAAAUGCACAUACUGUGAGCUCGAUGAGUAGGGCGGGACACGUGGUA